CCCAUGAUGAUGUUACUUUCUAUGUUUUCUCAACACCUCAACAAAAAAAACUUAGCUAACAUCGUGAGCUAGACUAUGAUAUCAAGUUUUGCAUAACAUUUUUAGUAAAAUAAUAAUAGCUUGUGCAUCUUCUAAACUUGCAUCUUGACUUGUAGCUUCAAUCUUUAAAAACCCGUAAGUACAAAAGUUUUUAAAAUAACAAAUAACUAUUGAUAAAAUAACAUAUGUAAUUUUAUAUGAGCAAUAGUUAAAUCGCUUACCCAAAAGUAGUCUAAAUUCACAAGGUGUUAUCCAGCAACAUCAACAAGACUACAACAAUAUUAAAAAAAAUUAAUUAGAAAAUCUUUAGGAUGGUUAUUCUUACUUUGGUUCGAUAAAUCUCGGUACGACAAUUCGAGAUUUACCAUUCAAAAGAUCAACUAUUAUGAACAAACAACAACAUGGUAUGCUUCUGUUCCAGUGCAAAAUGAAGCACGCUCUUGCUUAUAAAAGUUAAAUUAAAUAAAGAUAAUAGAUAAGAAAAAUACUACGAUGCACACUACUUGUUACGAUCAAAUGCACACAACUGGAUUCUCAAGAGUUGGUAUGAAAUGGAGAAAGAAUAGUCUCAAGAUGCUAAGCAAUAUCCCUAGAGUAGUUAUUUUUAAUGGCUUGAUACUAAACUGUUGAAUAUCUUUACACAAUUAUUCACUACACACCAGGGACAAAUAGUGGUGAUGCCAGAUAAAUGGUCACUACAAAUUACUCCAUUUUCACCAUAAAGGUAACAAUGUUCUUAGAGCUCUCCAACUAUUUCUAGAAAGUGUGUUCCAAUGUCAAGAUUUUAUGAAGGCACAUCCUCUCUUCAUUCAUUUGAGUAGUGUACAAAUACAGGACCUGAAUCUGAUUCAUUCCACAUCAAAUUAGUGUGCUCAGAUCAAAAUCCAGGUCGAUGUAAUUAGACUCUACUAAUCGAUAGACCUUGUCUUUCUAAUUUAGUUGAUCAGAAUGCAUUUAAGGGAGGGUAGAGAUCCUUACAAUAUACUCAACAUGCUAAGGAAUGUUCAUGUCUUGAUACUAAACUGUUGAAUACUUUUACACGGUUAUUCACAUCACACCAGAGACAAAUAGACAAUCUAAAACAACCAUUCAAUAUCAUAUAGUAUAAUACAUGAAAUCACUCUUGACAUUAAAACAUCACCUACUUCUCAAUUGUAGGUCAAUUAAUAAGCUAUUACAUAUUCUCAUUCAUGAAACCCAACAUAUCUUAAGCUAAAUUCUUUCUCGUUGUCUUUUUAAGAUUAGCCUACCUUGGCCUAAUGUUAUUUGUACUCCAACGUUUGAUAUAAAAACAUCUGAUGACACAAUUAAACAUUCUAAAGUGAAACAAUUAGAAGAAUACAUGUAAAAUCAAACUUGAGAUAUCACAACAAUACAAUAUUGCCUGAGCAAAAACAAUUUUUCCAUUUAAGAAAAAAGAUCAUAUAUUUUGGACCAAUAUGGAUAAAGUGUCCUGACCAUUGUGCUCAGCAACGUCAUAGCAAAUUAGAAUACAUCCAAACAAACAAAAGUGCAACAUAAAACAUUGAGAUAUACAACUAGGAUUGCAACGUCCAAGCAAACAAAGUACCAAACUCGAAAACAAAACAUAGGAGUCAGAUAUCUAAUAGCUAGUUGAUCACAACAAAUGCGUAUGGAAUCCACUAGUCCAGAACACCAAAAUUGCAGUAAUUUGAAAUUGCCACUCAACCCAAGUAAUGAACAAAGAUGUUUUACACAAUAUUUUCUACAAGCCACCUAUAUAACUAAACGCCUAAUGUUCAACUUAUGUACCAGGUUUUCAUCUCAUUCAUUGUGAUUAAUAAGAGUUCUCUGUCUGAGCUUUUCAUCUCAACUUAUGUACCAGCUUUUCACUAAACACAAUUAGCAAUUCAAGAAGGUGCUUUCGGCAUUCUUCUAUAGCACACAAACAAGACUACUAGUUGCAGGGAUUAGUUAACUCAUGGUGAAGGAAGAAAAAUACAUCAACGAAGCAAAAGAAGGCAAUUAAAAUUUGCCGCUGAGGAUACCGAAUCGCAAUUUUAUAUAAACUUCAGAAAUUAAAUUAUCAAACUAGGAAUCCCAACCCAAUAAUCUUUUCACUGAUUUUGUAAAAGAAAAAAAUACCAAAAUAUGAAACCUUACCAAAUUGUUUAUGUUAGAGAAGAAAAAGAAGAUCGAAGAACUCGAAUAAGCGAAGCAAUCAACGAAAAAAAGCAACUUGAAAGAGGGGGCAUACCACGGAUUCUCAACGAGCGAGAUGGAAACUUGGGAAAAUUCACACACCACCAGAUUUACAACUUGUGUUUUGAGAAAACACAGUAAAGGCGACGGGCAGAGCUUGGCGGAAACUAGGGCUGAGCUUAUGGCGCAACUUGUGUUUCAUAAUAUAGAGAGUUUCACGGAUUCUCAACGAGUGAGAUGGAAACUUGGGAAAAUUCACACACCAUCAGAUUCACAUUUUGUGUUUUGAGAAAACACAGUAAAGGCGAUGGGUAGAGCUUGGCUGAAACUGGGUGGAGCUUGGCAUGCGGAAACUAGGGCAGAGCUUAUGUUCGCGACUUGUGUUUUAGAAUACAGAGAGUUUCUUGACAUUUUAAAAUUUUUUAUUACAAUAUAAUAGUUUUGGCGCCUGAUUUUUCACAAAAUAAUAGUUUUUUAAUAUUUUGGUAUUGGAUUUGGCAGCACUGUGUCACACUCAAUGUCCCUCAAUUAUAAUUUGGGACCAGUUACUACUUUCUUUAGGGACCGGAUUUACUACAUUAGUAAUAAAAUAUAGUAUUAAGGACCUCAAUAUUAUCUCGUCCCAAUAAAUAUAUUUUUUGCGACGAGAUUAUUAACUCAUCCCUAAAAGUUGGUCAUAAAUAAGGCUUUUUAUUGUAGUGUGUGCAAAUGGAAUUCGGAGAGUUCUUGAUGGUUUCCACCUCGGUUAGAGAUGUAUAUUUUCUAUGAGCAUGAGGAGCAUGGGAUGUAUAGUAAUUUUCUUCUAGACAGGAUCAAUGGAAAGUUCUUGGUUAGUUGACUACGUAGUUGCUUGUGGCUCGGAAUGGAUAUGAAGUUCUCAUGUUUAUCCUAGGAUGGUAUGGUAUAUGCGCUAUAUUGUGUAGGAUUGAGAUUUGCAUGUGUAAGGUCACGGUUGAGUUUUGAAAGGAAGGUCACAAAUUCUUAGGUAGCAUGGACAGUUUCAGAUGACUAGAUAAAUGACAUCAUUGAUAGGUGUGGCUUGAUGAUGGUAUACAUUUUAGAAAGGGUGAUGUGUUUGAGUUGAGGAUAUUCCAUUAGUAUUGCGGCACUCUAUUGUUGGAUUGACUGCUGAUAUUCGACUUUGAUUGGUGGCACAGAAGAAUUAUAGGAGUACCUCUCAUGGGAUGAUGGGGUAUUAGAGGUGUGUUGUAUAUUCGGACGGUGGAGUUAGAAUCGGCUAUGGUGAUUCGCGUGUUGUAUGGAUUUGAAGACUGGGAGUUCUCAUAAACAGGUUAGGUCGUGGUUGUGGAUCGCGUAUAUCAGUUUUGUGUGGUAACUAUUGGAGGUUUGGAGACCCUAGUGGAUCCUUGUUUCUUAAUAUGCUAGAUUUUGGUGUUAUAUUGGGUAUGGACUGGUUGUCUCCGUGUCAUUUUAUUCUAGGGUGUUGCUCUAGGACGACGAUGUUGGCUAUGCCAGGAAUGCCACGGAUUGGGUGACGAGGUUCGACGGAUUAUGGGGUGGUUUCAAUUUUAAAGACGCAACGGAUGGCUGGGAAGGGUUGUCUUUCUUAUUUGGCCUUCGUGAUGGAUGUCAGUGCAGAGACUCCUACCAUUGAUUCAGUUCCGGUGGUGAGAGAUUUUCCAGAUGCGUUUCCUACUGCCGGGUAUGUCGUCGGACAGGGUUGUUGAUUUCGGUAUUUAUUUGGUGCCGGGCACUAUCGUGCCCCAUUUUUCUCACGAAGACGGGCUUAGACAUGUGACAACUCUUUUAAAAGGGUAUUAAAAAAGAAGAGUCGACAUCUAAUGAUUUUAAGGUGUGUUAAGGCGCCUAUUUGUAAAUAACUCUGUUUGACUAGUCAACGUCACCAAAGAUCGAGCAAGGGCUCAAAUUACCUCUAAGAAAAGGUGUUAGGCACUCUUAGAGGUCCACAACUGUGGGUCCCGGCCGAAAUUUAUGCUAUGUGGGAUUAUUGGAUUACUAAUCCAAAGUUAGACUAGUUUGUUAUUACUAGGCGAUGAAAUAUGCAAAUAGUUAGAGAUGUAAUAAAAAUAAUUACUUAAACAGUCAAGUGCAUAAGGAAAGAAUUGAUAGUCUAAAGGAACUAAUUAUGUAAAGGAGGACCUAAAUUUUUAUGCCUAAUGCAUCAACUCCUGUGCAAAGCCUGCUACGACUUUUAUAACCAAAAGUGCAAUGGCUAUUCGGGCAAUUUGUGUAUCAUGUCCAACUACCCUCAUUAAUAUCUUUGAGUUAUUAACCUAAGAACGUACUAGUUAAUUCUAAAGCGCGUCUUAAUUUAAAACUACCCAUCCCUUCUUAUAGUCCCAGGAGGCUUUGGACACUAUUCUAAAAGGAUGGUUCUAUACAUAAAGAAAAUCUCAGGUUUCUAUUUAUAUUCUUAUUAGCGUCACAUAAAAUGGAGCACAUUGGGACUUAAACAAGUAACACAUAAGGCAUGUAAGGGCUCAUGUUGGCCUCCGAAUUAAUUAAAUUGAGAGUUGAUAAUUGAAGUAGUGAAAUGAACUCUUAUAAUAUAAUAACUUUCUUGAACUGAUACUACGCAACUCAAGUAUAAGCAUACUAGAAUAAACAUAAUUAUAAAAUUACUAAAAAUGUCGAGUAGAAGAUAAAGUAGUUUGGAUUAAAGUAUUUAGCUACGUACUCUUUUGUGUAAAGGUAGAUAAGAAAGAGGAAUUGAAAUAAGAUACCUGAUUUGAAAAUCGUAUGCUAGAAAACUUACUUGUAUACAAAGAUUGUUACUAGCCCCCAAGCCUUUAAUAAAUAAAUAAAAAUAUUAUAAGAAGACUAUACUUACUUAACAGUACUUGUUUCCAUGAAAUGAAUCAAGGGUAUUUUUUGUAAAACUAGUUUGACGACAGGUUUAAAACAAGUAGCAAUCUCCACUGUUAAAAGGAAAUUGAAUGCAUUAAAAAUCAUUAUUAUUAGGAGAAUAACACAAACAGAAAAUCACUUCUCCCUGUUACUUGAAUUCUAUAAGCAUGGUAAUAAUAUUGAAAAUGAAAGCAUGACUUCAGUGAUUAGUAAAAAUAGAAACAAACCACAAGAGCAAAUAGCACAUAGCAGCAACAAGUGACAAAUAAGUUUCAGCCCCAUCAUCCCUUUUACACAAUUACAGAUUAUUUGUAGCGGCCAACAUUACAAUACAAGCUAAACUAAUGAGCUUUAGGCGCAAAGUAAAUUCCAACACAAUAAUUCUUAAACCUUCCCCUUCCCAGGCGACUCCAAACACUCGCUCAAUGCUCGAAUUACGUCAUCCUGUAAGGUCAUAGCCCAACCAGGACACAUGCAGCGCACAUGGAGAUCGAAUUAUCGCGAAAAUAGAUUUAACUCGUUACUUCCAAGUAAUAUAACUUCAAGUAUUUUAUUCAAACUAUUUGCAAUUUAGUCCUGUAAAGAUAAAGAACAUGCUGAGAAAUACAACUCGCUAGCCUUUAACACCAACGAAGUUGUUGACUUCUCUUACUAUUAGUUCCUAAAUAGAGCACCUCUAGUGUUCAAAUCAAAUAAAUAAUUACUCAAACAAAAUAAAGUACAAGCAUUAUGGGAUAGCAAGUUAUCUGGAUGCAUUAUAGCCAACAAAGCAAAAAAUACUCUUAGCUUCUGACAUACUAUCCACAACUGGACAUGCAGUAUAUUAGGCCAGUUAAUCCUAAACAUGAUGUCUAAGUGACAAAAUAAGACCGGCAAACAUUCUUAAGGUUUAAGGGAUGAAGUUUUAACAAUCCAAUACCGCCUUUUAUUAACUUAGAAAUACUCGCUGAAAUGAUACCAAUGCAACAUGAAUUCAGCUAUACAAAGAAUGAAGAUCAUGGAACUUACAAAUAUCAUUCGAAAUCUUUUAGGCAGAAUUCCUAAACUAAAUCGUUGAACAUAGCAAAUAAGUUGGUGCUACUCUUAUUUAUGCAAUCUUUAGUCCUAAAUAAAGGAAAUGAUUUCCUAAUUACUAGGGUGCCAGAACAAAUCCUAAAGACAUUUAUGGUCAGGUCGUUUCAUAUUUAAAAACUCACACGUAAAAUCAAAAGAUUAAAAACACAAAUGAAUUUAAGAGACGUACCGUGUUAUUAUAUUGGCAUAAUUUCAAUAGAGUGUUGCAUGGCACUCGAUAUCUCAGCAUGGACAAGAGUGUACAUAAUACAAAACUAAAGAGAAGGACUAGUCUAUUCUAACAACAACCAACAUGUAAAGGAAUCGUAAUGCAUCAUUCAGGAAACUAACCAGUUUGUGGAGUACCAAAUUCAUAAGAAAACCAGAAAUCCAAAUAAUGAUUCACGGACAGAUCUUCAACAACAGUAAAUAUGCCAAACAAACUCCAGAAAUACGCAGUGAUUGCAAUAAGAAAACUCGAAUGAUAGUGACAAGAAAGCAAUACUCAAAUUUCGACGCUCCGAGAUCACUAAAACUUCUACGAAUUUUGAGCAACACUCGUGUCGAGUGAAAUAAAAGAAAACAAAUUUUGCUUUGGCUUGCAAUAAGCAAAGAAGUAGCCGAAGAGCAGUGAAUGAAGAGUAUAUAACAGUAAAAGAAAAGUUAUGGAAGUGAUGAAGAGCAAUGAUCAAAAGUCCUUCUCCCCUCCUUUUUUUGCCUUAAUAGUAGUAGUAGUAGUAUUUAUAGCUAAAAAUUAUUAAUGCUCUAAGUAAAAAGGACAUAAAUUAAGGCUAACAAUUAGUACUUGACAGAAUCAAUUAGCAAAAAUCGGAGCCCACAACUUUGAGAAAAAAAUGAUUAUUUCUAUAUAUAAAAAGUAUAUGAAUAUUUAUCAAAUUCAACUACAAUAUAAUUAGAGCAAUAAGAAAUCAUGUCAAGAAGGAAAAAAACUUACGGGAUUGAGUUUUUCUGAAAAUUAUUAUAUCAAAUCAAAGAAAGCAGAACCCACAAUAAAUAAAAAAAUUUACCUUUUUGGGGACUCCUAUGAACUUGGACAAAUUCUUCAAUUAAAUUCGUACCCAAAUCUUCCACCAA
RNAcentral lists this long non-coding RNA (7179 nucleotides) under Nicotiana tabacum (common tobacco). RNAcentral's name for it is "long non-coding RNA (NTAB_LNC004001)". The record is from RNAcentral. Lineage: Eukaryota; Viridiplantae; Streptophyta; Magnoliopsida; Solanales; Solanaceae.